This 57-nucleotide transfer RNA is filed under the name Cavia porcellus (domestic guinea pig). The record is from Rfam by way of RNAcentral. Lineage: Eukaryota; Metazoa; Chordata; Mammalia; Rodentia; Caviidae.
AGGGAUUUAGCUUAGCGGCAUAAGCGCCUGCCUUGUAAGCAGGCAAUUCGAUCCCUG